UUGAUAAAGAUAAACAAAAUGGCUACUUUUGAUAGCGUACUUCAUUUCGAUUCAUGUACUGUAUAUACUGGUAUCUAAUUUAAUAUAAAAUAGGAUUUCAGUUCAAACUCUAUUAAUAUAAAUCUAGUUUCGGGCACUAUGGAUGGCAACGUAUCAACAGUGUUUCCAAACGUAACUGGACCACCAUGUGAUGCGGGUGAUACGCCAUUGUAUGUUGGCUUUAUGACUGCAGGCAUGGCAGUCGUGUUUUACGGUACAACCUAUAUACCAGUGAAAAAAUUUGAUACUGGUGAUGGCAUGUUUUUCCAGUGGGUAUUUGGAGUAUCUAUUGGAAUAUAUUCGCUGAUAAUUGCACAAGUCCGAGACAAUCCGACAUUUUAUCCCAUUACAAUGCUUGGAGGCGCUUUAUUUAUAACAGGAAAUCUCACUGUAAUUCCAAUAGUUAAAAUGAUAGGACUUGGACUCGGUUUCAGUAUCUGGGGUGUGACAAAUUUACUGAGCGGCUGGGCUACAGGAAGGUUUGGAUUAUUUGGGUUAAAAGCAGAUCCCCCAGACAAUUUGGUUCUGAAUGACAUCGGCGUGAUAUUGGCAGUUAUAAGUGCUGUGAUAUUCACUGCUGUGAAAAAUGAGGUCAGUAGUUCAAACAUUGAUACAACUGUUACUGUAGAUGUAUCAGAGAGCAGUCCUUUACUUCGGAACACAGAUCACCUAAUCGAGAAGAGGUUGCUAGAAGAACCGGAGUGUGACAUAGUUACUUUACCUAAAAUUAAUCAGAACGAGUCAACAACGGAGCAAGAGUUAUUAGUACAAACAGAUGACUCUAGUAUGUUUGAUCAUCUGAGUCCAACAAUAAAACGUAUAUUGGGAGUUGGCCUAUCAUUACUGGCAGGCUUAGUGUAUGGUCAGGUUUUCACCCCAUUUCUUUAUGUUCAAAACAACUAUGAGAAUUCCAGUCAAAAUGCCCUGGACUACGUAUUCUCUACACUAUGUGGAAGUGUGAUAGCAUGUAGUGUCUACUUCUUGCUGUAUGCUGCCUAUAUGAAGAAUCGCCCUAAAGUUUACCCUAGGGUCAUUCUACCCGCAUUUAUCUCCGGGCUUCUGUGGACAGGGGGUACAACGUGUUGGUUUGUUGCUAACAAAGUACUCUCAGAAUCCGUGGCGUUUCCAAUAGUGACCACUGGGCCAGCCGUUGUUGCAAACUUGUUGGCUGUUUUUGUGUUCAAAGAAAUUAAGGGAUUUAGAAACCUGUCAAUACUAGUAUUGGGUUUGUGUAUCACAAUUACCGGCGCAUUACUUGCAGGGUUCUCCAAACAGUCAUCCAGUGCUUGCUGACCUCAGUUUCAAAAACUGUUUAGUGUAUCUACGAAGCAUUUAGACAUUUUACGGGUUUUUUUAUUUUGUGGAUAAUCAAUAACAUAAAUUUUUCCUUUUUCAUGCCAACAGCCGUUUUUAUAAUGUCAAAGUUUGAAUGUAUAAGUGUUAUGGACAAGUUCUAUAAUCAAGUAAACCAACGAGAUUUUAUAAAGAGAUAAUACGGUGUUUUGCUGAUGUUUUUAUUCAGUUCAUAUAUUUUCUACACGUUUCACAUUUUCUUUAGUUUUACAUUGAACACAUUUCCCAGCUUUAGGGAAUGUGAUUAUGUUUCACACUAAUUGAACAGGUUAUACUUUAUCGGCUUUAACUUACCAUUAAUUUACCAGUUCAAUUAAAUAAAUCACUCGGUAUGGUCUCAGCACAUUGUGAUUUCUUAAGUGGUAACAUGUAGUUCUGCGAUAUUAGAUGAACUUUGUACAGACGACAUUUGCCAUGUUUUAACAUAUGCUCUAUUAGACUAAUACGUUACUCUGUAGAAUUUAGAGAAAUAAAACAUUUUAAAUAAAAUGCACACUGGGACAUAUUGACUUUCCCAUCCAUUGAGAAAGAUUAAUGAGACUUUGUAAUUGAUGGUAGCUUUCAGAGUACAAAAUUGUUCAUUGUAUAUUACUUACGGUCACAGAUACUCAGAUUCAGCUCAUUCAUAAUGAUUUUAACACCACGUGAUAGUUGUAGUUUUAACCCCGGGAAUGAUGUAUGGAAAACAGGAAAACCUCGUUUUAAGAAUUUAAUGAUCUAUAAUCUCGUACAAUACACAUCUAGAAGACAUUCCAGUAUAAACUAUUGAAUAUUUAAUGAGAAAAAACACUUAAAGAAUAAUGUGAUAUGUAAUUAUAUAAUGUUUUGUUGCAUGUUUAUUAUUCACUUAUUUGUUCUAAAACGUAUAUGUACUAUAAUCUUCCUGAUAACAUUAUGUGAAACUGUAAAAAAAUAAUAUGAAGCUUUAUUUUCAUUGGCUAUAAAUUGGGGUAUUAAGUCAUUAUCUAAUUAUAGGUACACAACUUUUUAUACCAGGAAGUUAAAAUGUAAGACAAAAUUAAAAAAAUGUACUAUAUACAUAAAAAUCUAUACAAGAAGACGGUGAAACGUGUGUACUUGUAUGAACUUUUGGGUUAAUAUUAAAACUUGUAUGUUUAUUUAAAUAGUUAAUUCCCUAUUAUCUUACUAGAUAAAUCUAAAUCAAUAAUUUAUGUCCAGCUCUGAUAACCUAUGAUAUUUGGGAUAAUAUUUAUUUGCAAUAUAGAAGGAUUUAAAGUCGCAUUUAAAGAGUGGUGGUGCUGUUGGUAGUUUUCACUCCGGAUUACGGCAGUAAGUCAACAUAACUUUA
This is an RNA transcript of Ruditapes philippinarum (Manila clam), 2701 nucleotides long. It is a transcript of the gene named transmembrane protein 144-like, with no coding region annotated. The transcript has 12 exons. The record is from RefSeq and is a predicted model, not a curated record. Lineage: Eukaryota; Metazoa; Mollusca; Bivalvia; Venerida; Veneridae.